Regulatory RNA element from Micromonospora avicenniae, 73 nucleotides. It matches the Rfam family "Actino-pnp RNA". The record is from Rfam. NCBI's taxonomy places the organism in Bacteria, Bacillati, Actinomycetota, Actinomycetes, Micromonosporales, Micromonosporaceae.
ACCGGUCUCCGGUAGUGGCCCCCGGGGUACCCGGCAUUCAGCCGUGGCCCGGGCGCUUCGAUCGAAGACCGGC